This 26-nucleotide ribosomal RNA is filed under the name Parazoanthus swiftii. RNAcentral describes it as "partial 18S ribosomal RNA". The record is from RNAcentral. RNAcentral also lists the same sequence under 2 other names. Lineage: Eukaryota; Metazoa; Cnidaria; Anthozoa; Zoantharia; Parazoanthidae.
UGACCUGCGGAAGGAUCAUUACCGUU